This 545-nucleotide ribosomal RNA is filed under the name Parioglossus palustris. RNAcentral's name for it is "partial 12S ribosomal RNA". It matches the Rfam family "Bacterial small subunit ribosomal RNA", at positions 307 to 991 of the family's 1533-position model. Lineage: Eukaryota; Metazoa; Chordata; Actinopteri; Gobiiformes; Gobiidae. The record is from RNAcentral.
AACCCUGUGAGAAUGCCCUACUUAUCGCCAUGCUAGGGAAAAAGGAGCCGGUAUCAGGCACAACCCUACGUUAGCCCACGACACCUUGCUUAGCCACACCCCCAAGGGAUUCAGCAGUAGUAAACAUUAAGCAAUAAGUGAAAACUUGACUUAGUUAAAAUCAUAGAGGGCCGGUUAAACUCGUGCCAGCCACCGCGGUUAUACGAGAGGCCUAAGUUGACAAGCAUCGGCGUAAAGGGUGGUUAAUGUAUAACAAACUAAGACCGAACAUCUUCAAGGCUGUCAUACGCACCCGAAGGCAGGAAGAUCCUCUACGAAAGUGGUCUUAACCAAAUAUGAACCCACGAAAGCUAGGGAACAAACUGGGAUUAGAUACCCCACUAUGCCUAGCCCUAAACAUAAGUAUUUCAUCACACAAUACUCGCCAGGGGACAACGAGCCUCAGCUUAAAACCCAAAGGACUUGGCGGUGCUUUAGACCCCCCUAGAGGAGCCUGUUCUAGAACCGAUACUCCCCUUUCAACCUCACCCUCUCUUGUUUUUCCC